This 301-nucleotide ribosomal RNA is filed under the name uncultured bacterium. RNAcentral describes it as "partial 16S ribosomal RNA". It matches the Rfam family "Bacterial small subunit ribosomal RNA", at positions 509 to 809 of the family's 1533-position model. The record is from RNAcentral.
CAGUCGCCGCGGUAAUACAGAGGGUGCGAGCGUUAAUCGGAUUUACUGGGCGUAAAGCGUGCGUAGGCGGCUAAUUGAGUCGGAUGUGAAAUCCCCGAGCUUAACUUGGGAAUUGCAUUCGAUACUGGUUAGCUAGAGUGUGGGAGAGGAUGGUAGAAUUCCAGGUGUAGCGGUGAAAUGCGUAGAGAUCUGGAGGAAUACCGAUGGCGAAGGCAGCCAUCUGGCCUAACACUGACGCUGAGGUACGAAAGCAUGGGGAGCAAACAGGAUUAGAUACCCCUGUAGUCCAUGUCUCUUAUAU